RNAcentral lists this ribosomal RNA (254 nucleotides) under uncultured bacterium. RNAcentral describes it as "partial 16S ribosomal RNA". It matches the Rfam family "Bacterial small subunit ribosomal RNA", at positions 524 to 777 of the family's 1533-position model. The record is from RNAcentral.
UACGAGUGCCCCGAGCGUUAUCCGGAAUCAUUGGGCGUAAAGGGUGUGUAGGUGGUUGUGUUAGUCGAUCGUCAAAACCCGGAGCUUAACUCCGGAUCCGCGUUCGAUACGGCACGACUAGAGGAUGCGAGGGAUGUAUGGAACUCAUGGAGUAGGGGUGAAAUCCGUUGAUAUCAUGGGGAACACCGAAAGCGAAGGCAGUACAUUGGCGCACUCCUGACACUGAAACACGAAAGCGUGGGUAGCGAAGUGGG